Molecule: ribosomal RNA, 498 nt
Filed under: uncultured bacterium
Lineage: Bacteria
Description: partial 16S ribosomal RNA
Rfam family: Bacterial small subunit ribosomal RNA
Source: RNAcentral
AUUGAACGCUGGCGGCAUGUCUUACACAUGCAAGUCGAACGGUAACGGGCCUUCGGGUGCCGACGAGUGGCGAACGGGUGAGUAAUGCAUCGGAACGUACCCAUCAGUGGGGGAUAACUCUCCGAAAGGAGGGCUAAUACCGCAUAUCCUGUGCGCAGGAAAGCGGGGGACCGCAAGGCAUCGCGCUGGUGGAGCGGCCCGUGUCAGAUUAGCUAGUUGGUGGGGUAAAGGCCUACCAAGGCGACGAUCUGUAGCGGGUCUGAGAGGAUGAUCCGCCACACUGGGACUGAGACACGGCCCAGACUCCUACGGGAGGCAGCAGUGGGGAAUUUUGGACAAUGGGGGCAACCCUGAUCCAGCCAUGCCGCGUGAGUGAAGAAGGCCUUCGGGUUGUAAAGCUCUUUCGGCCGGGAAGAAAUCGCAUCUCCUAAUACGGGGUGUGGAUGACGGUACCGGAAUAAGAAGCACCGGCUAACUACGUGCCAGCAGCCGCGGUAA